CGCUGGCGGCAUGCCUAACACAUGCAAGUCGAACGAGACCUUCGGGUCUAGUGGCGCACGGGUGCGUAACGCGUGGGAAUCUGCCCUUGGGUUCGGAAUAACUUCGGGAAACUGAAGCUAAUACCGGAUGAUGACGUAAGUCCAAAGAUUUAUCGCCCAAGGAUGAGCCCGCGUAGGAUUAGCUAGUUGGUGAGGUAAAGGCUCACCAAGGCGACGAUCCUUAGCUGGUCUGAGAGGAUGAUCAGCCACACUGGGACUGAGACACGGCCCAGACUCCUACGGGAGGCAGCAGUGGGAAUAUUGGACAAUGGGCGAAAGCCUGAUCCAGCAAUGCCGCGUGAGUGAUGAAGGCCUUAGGGUUGUAAAGCUCUUUUACCCGGGAUGAUAAUGACAGUACCGGGAGAAUAAGCUCCGGCUAACUCCGUG
This 426-nucleotide ribosomal RNA is filed under the name uncultured bacterium. Its description in RNAcentral is "bacterial SSU rRNA". It matches the Rfam family "Bacterial small subunit ribosomal RNA", at positions 34 to 507 of the family's 1533-position model. The record is from RNAcentral.